CUCCCUCUUCCUGCCCACCCUCCUCAGAGAAUGCCAAGUCUGCAGGUUUCCACGACCUUGAGCAGCCAGCAGGUUGGAGCAGGAGCGCAGAGCUUUGCAAGGAGGUCUUGGGCAGGGCCUCUCUCGCCGGCUGGGGUUGCUCUGCCUUGGCGCUUGCUUUCUGCCCACACCCAAUACUGUUGCCCUGCUUUAUUUUUCUCUAUGGCACUUCUCAUCUUCUGACAAUUUACUUUACUUAUGUGUAUUUUCUUUUCUCCUCUCCCCCCAUUAGGUCAGUUCCAUGAGGGCAGGGAUUUCUAUCUGCGGUGGCCACUGUUCCAUCCCCAAAGCCUGGAACAGUGCCUGGCACACAGUAGGUGCCCAGGGAGAACUGAUGAACGAAGUGCUCUGGACAGCCCCCAUUCACUGCAUACUUACUCCUGCACCAGCUAACUGCCUCGAUCAACAGCCCUGGGUGCCGAGGAGUAUGCCAGUUCCCUUGGGGAAGAUCGGGAAACCGAAGCCCAGAAAGGAAGAACCCAAGGCAAAGGACCAGCCCAAGGUCACGCGGUCGAGUAGUGGAGCCGGGACCAAGCCCAAGCUUCCGAGCCGCGGCGCCUGCGCGCUGAGCCCUUCCUCCCACCACCCAGAGGCACGAUGGAUAUUAAACAAAUCAUCACGUACCUGUACCUGCAGCCAGUUCAGGGGACUGAGAAGGCAUGAUGGGGAUGGGGUGUCGACAACCGGAGGAGGCUUCCCAGAGCAGGUGAGACUGGAACUGAAACUCAAUGUGGGGAAACAGAUGUGGCUCAACCAAUUGGGCUCCCGUCUACCAUAUAGGAGGUCCAGGGUUCGAUGCCCAGUGCCUCCCGGUGAGGGGAAGCUGGCCCACAUGGAGGAGUUUCGCCGCUGUGGCCCCAUGCAGUAGUGCCGCCCUGCAUGGAAAUGCCACCCCGUGCGGAAAAGCCGCCCUGCGCAGGAGUGCCACACAAUGCUGAGAGCUGGUGCAGCAAGAUGACGCAACAAGAGACACAGGAGAGAAAAUAAGAAGACGUAGAAGAUGCAGAACAGGGAGAUGAGGUGGCACAAGAGAGUAAUCGCCUCUUUCCCACUCCGGAAGGUCCGAGGAUCAGUUCCCAGAGCCGCCUAAUGAGGAAAGAAGCAGACACAGAAGAACACACAGCGAAUGGACACAGAGAGCAGACAAUGGGGGGAACAGGGUGGGGUGAGAGGGAAUAAAAAUAAAUCUUAAAAAAAAGAAUGUUCAUUAAAAAAAAGAAAAGAAAAGAAACUCGGUGUGGAGUAGGAGGGAGCAAAGGCAUGAGCCAAAAGCUGGAGUCCAAAGGAACUGGAAUGUUAGAGUCUGAAAAGCCCUGUGUGCUGGAGAAGGCUAGAGAGUGGCAGGCGAGGAGGGCAAGGUCAAGAUCAGCAGGGCCAGGCCCCAGUGGCCUUGAGGGUUGUGAAGGAGGAGGCCCUCCUGAGGGCAGGGAGAGCACAAAGGGUUUUGAGCAGGAGAGUCAGCCUCAAGCCUGUGUCCUCCCAUUGGCCCCAUUGACCCCAAUGGUGUGUGGACAUCCUGGGCUGGAGUCCUGGCUCUGUUCUCGGCCUCUCUGAGCCUCGGUUUCUUCAUCUGUAAGAUAGAGAUAAUGAUCUUUACAGCUGUAGGGAAUGUGGGCUUCGGAGCCAGAAGGCCCUGGAUUCAAGCCUGCCCUUACAAAACAUGGGGCCUUGGGCAGUAUUCAACAAAGACUCAACCAGGCAGGCCGGUGCAGAACCUGGGGUGUCGUUCUCCACCCCCCUGCAGCCUUCCUGGCUCCCUGCCCGGGUCUCCAGAGCGGGGCCUCGGGACCCAGACUAAGUUCCCUUCCAUGGCAGGGGAGGUGGCAGGGACCCUGGCCCGAUGUCGAGGAGAGGCAGGGCCAGAGGGCUGGAAGCUGCCCCUGGGACCCCGGGCCCCUGCCUCCUCCCCCCGGGAGCUCCAGGCUCCCUGGCUAAUGUGGGGAGCUAAGGGUGGCAUAGCGGGAAGGGGCCCAGAGCCCAGGGGGCAGAGCGUCCCCUAGCUGGUGGCAAGGGUAAAUAGAAAGCUACAGGGGCGGAGCGGGUGCAGGCAGACUGAGGCUGCUUUGUCUUCUGUCAGCCAGCUCACCCGGCUCUGGGGAACAGGUUAUGCUCUAUUGCUUCACUUGGAUGCUGGUUAUACAAGUGGGCUCAAUUUGUAAAAAAUUCACACACCUGAACACUGAAGACGUACUUCUCUGAAUGUGUGUUAUCCUUCAACAAAAAGUUACACCCACGCUGGCUCUCUGAGUCUGGGAGGUAGGACUGGUCAUCCCCUCAGGGCAGAAAACAAGGCUGAGGCUGGAGGAGAACCAACCCAGACCCGGCCAGGGCACGUGACCGCGACUCUCCACAUGGAAGCUGAAGAGGCCACCUUGCCCGUCCUGGUCCUGCGAUUCCUGGGACCAUCGGUGCCUGUGCUCCAGGGGCCACCGUGAUGGAGGAACGUCGGGGCGAUGCACUUAAGCACCGCAACCAUCUGGUUAGGCCGGGUCCAGUCUUCCCACUGGCCAUGUAAGAAAACAGACCCAGAGAAAUGAGUGACUCGACAUGUGCUUCUAUUUUUUUUUAAAGAUUUAUUUUAUUCAUUUCUCUCCCCUUCCUCCCCGCUUGUUGUCUGUUCUUUGUGUCCAUUCACUGUGUGUUCUGUGUCCGCUUGCACCCUCGGCCACCCCAGGAAACUGCAUCUCUUUUUUGUUGCGUCAUUUUGCUGCGCCGCUCUCCUUGUGUGCGGUGCCACUCCUGGGCGGGCUGUGCUUUUUUCAC
RNAcentral lists this long non-coding RNA (2802 nucleotides) under Dasypus novemcinctus (nine-banded armadillo). RNAcentral's name for it is "lncRNA (ENSDNOG00000051117.1)". The record is from RNAcentral. Lineage: Eukaryota; Metazoa; Chordata; Mammalia; Cingulata; Dasypodidae.